ACGAGGCAGCGAAACAAUUAAAAGAGGGUAAAACUAGUAUCACUGACGUUGAAGGAAGAUACCAACUCGACAUGGCGCUUGUAGAAAUUCUGAUUCUUCAGGGAAAAUAUUCGGAAGCUUCGAAAUGUUCAUGUCUUGAGAAGACAAGUUGGCCUUCAGAUCAAGUUCGACAAUAUCUUUACAAGGGCAUUAUAUAUACCAUCUUGGACGACAAAGACAAAGCAACGGAGUCUUGGGAAGAAUUUAUCAAUAAGGGAUUCCAGGGCGGACCCGAUCCAUUUGACGAGACCUGAAACAUUUGAAUUUAUUUAUUAUGCCCAUUUGUUUUACGUUUCGAAGUUUUACUAUAUUGUUUGCAUCGUCGAUAUUUUAAAGUUUUAGUA
This is a long non-coding RNA of Morus notabilis, 383 nucleotides long. RefSeq lists it as uncharacterized. The transcript has 3 exons. The record is from RefSeq and is a predicted model, not a curated record. NCBI's taxonomy places the organism in Eukaryota, Viridiplantae, Streptophyta, Magnoliopsida, Rosales, Moraceae.